CCUACGGGGUGCUGCAGUGGGGAAUAUUGGACAAUGGGCGAAAGCCUGAUCCAGCCAUGCCGCGUGUGUGAAGAAGGCCUUCGGGUUGUAAAGCACUUUCAGUGGGGAAGAAAGCCUUGGGGCUAAUACCCUCGAGGAAGGACAUCACCCACAGAAGAAGCACCGGCUAACUCCGUGCCAGCAGCCGCGGUAAUACGGAGGGUGCGAGCGUUAAUCGGAAUUACUGGGCGUAAAGCGCGCGUAGGCGGUCUGAUAAGCCGGUUGUGAAAGCCCCGGGCUCAACCUGGGAACGGCAUCCGGAACUGUCAGGCUAGAGUGCAGGAGAGGAAGGUAGAAUUCCCGGUGUAGCGGUGAAAUGCGUAGAGAUUGGGAGGAAUACCAGUGGCGAAGGCGGCCUUCUGGACUGACACUGACGCUGAGGUGCGAAAGCGUGGGUAGCAAACAGGAUUAGAUACCCUAGUAGUC
This 465-nucleotide ribosomal RNA is filed under the name Vreelandella stevensii. RNAcentral describes it as "partial 16S ribosomal RNA". It matches the Rfam family "Bacterial small subunit ribosomal RNA", at positions 338 to 795 of the family's 1533-position model. The record is from RNAcentral. Lineage: Bacteria; Pseudomonadati; Pseudomonadota; Gammaproteobacteria; Oceanospirillales; Halomonadaceae.